UCCUCUGUAGUUCAGUCGGUAGAACGGCGGACUGUUAAUCCGUAUGUCACUGGUUCGAGCCCAGUCAGAGGAGGCA
This 76-nucleotide transfer RNA is filed under the name Escherichia coli O166:H6. RNAcentral's name for it is "tRNA-Asn". It matches the Rfam family "tRNA". From Rfam's summary of the family: Transfer RNA (tRNA) molecules are approximately 80 nucleotides in length. Their secondary structure includes four short double-helical elements and three loops (D, anti-codon, and T loops). Further hydrogen bonds mediate the characteristic L-shaped molecular structure. tRNAs have two regions of fundamental functional importance: the anti-codon, which is responsible for specific mRNA codon recognition, and the 3' end, to which the tRNAs corresponding amino acid is attached (by aminoacyl-tRNA synthetases). tRNAs cope with the degeneracy of the genetic code in two manners: having more than one tRNA (with a specific anti-codon) for a particular amino acid; and 'wobble' base-pairing, i.e. permitting non-standard base-pairing at the 3rd anti-codon position. The record is from RNAcentral. Lineage: Bacteria; Pseudomonadati; Pseudomonadota; Gammaproteobacteria; Enterobacterales; Enterobacteriaceae.